Molecule: ribosomal RNA, 212 nt
Filed under: uncultured bacterium
Lineage: Bacteria
Description: partial 16S ribosomal RNA
Rfam family: Bacterial small subunit ribosomal RNA
Source: RNAcentral
UACGUAGGGUGCGGGCGUGUCCGGAAUUAUUGGGCGUAAAGAGCUCGUAGGCGGUGUGUCGCGUCGGCCGUGAAAACCUGGGGCUCAACUCUGGGCGUGCGGUCGAUACGGGCAUCACUUGAGUUCGGCAGGGGAGACUGGAAUUCCUGGUGUAGCGGUGAAAUGCGCAGAUAUCAGGAGGAACACCGAGUGGCGAAGGCAGGGUCUCUGGG